Long non-coding RNA from Malus domestica (apple), 578 nucleotides. RefSeq lists it as uncharacterized. The record is from RefSeq and is a predicted model, not a curated record. NCBI's taxonomy places the organism in Eukaryota, Viridiplantae, Streptophyta, Magnoliopsida, Rosales, Rosaceae.
AGUCAUUAUCUCACUUCUUCCCGUCUCUUCCACCCAUUUUUGGAAUUCUCCAGAAACUCUCUCACUCCAUCCCUCUCUUUCCUUCCUCGUACCACACACACAACCGACCCGGCGUUAAAGCCACAUUAUCCGGCCAACCCAAAAUCAUCAAACCAACUUUUGAAUGGUUUCAAAGGAGUGGCGCUAAAAUUACAAGAGAUAAUGUUAUCUGAGGAUGCAACCUGAUACGGGUCAAGGUGAAGGGGAUGAGGAUGAAGAUGUUGACAAGAAUGAUAUAGAAAAGCACAAUGGAGAAUGUGAUUGUGAAGGAAGGAUUCAGGGAUUUGAAGGGCACUAAGUUCAGACAUGCAAGACUGUGAGAUCAGACCCCAAGAAAAGAGCUAGAGCAGGGAUCCAGAUAACAAAGGGGCCAAGGCAGAGUCAUGAGAGGCCCCAAGGAGCAACUUGAGGAAAGUGUCGAUCAAAACUAUUGUAUAGAACAAUUUUCCAAAUGUAUUCAGUGUAAAUAGUAAUGUUUUGAAGCGCAAUCUUUUAUAUCUUGCAAACAUAAUUUUUUAUACAAUUUUCAAUUGCAAACA